GCCAGGUGUAGUGGCGUGUGCCUGUAAUCCCAGCUACUUGGGAGGCUGAGGCAGUAGAAUUGCUUGAACCCAGGAAGCAGAGGUUGCAGUGAGCUGAGAUCACGCCACUGCACUCCAGCCUGGGCAACAAGGCAAGACUCUGUCUCGG
This 148-nucleotide non-coding RNA is filed under the name Pan paniscus (pygmy chimpanzee). The record is from Rfam by way of RNAcentral. RNAcentral also lists the same sequence under 1 other name. Lineage: Eukaryota; Metazoa; Chordata; Mammalia; Primates; Hominidae.